RNAcentral lists this ribosomal RNA (395 nucleotides) under uncultured bacterium. RNAcentral's name for it is "bacterial SSU rRNA". It matches the Rfam family "Bacterial small subunit ribosomal RNA", at positions 29 to 420 of the family's 1533-position model. The record is from RNAcentral.
AUUGAACGCUGGCGGCAUGCUUUACACAUGCAAGUCGAACGGCAGCACGGGGCGAACCCUGGUGGGCGAGUGGCGAACGGGUGAGUAAUAUAUCGGAACGUACCCGGAAAUGGGGGAGUAACGUAGCGAAAGUUACGCUAAUACCGCAUAUGCCCUAAGGGGGAAAGCGGGGGAGUUCGCAAGAACCUCGCGUUUUCGGAGCGGCCGAUAUCGGAUUAGCUAGUAGGUGAGGUAAAGGCUCACCUAGGCGACGAUCCGUAGCUGGUCUGAGAGGACGACCAGCCACACUGGAACUGAGACACGGUCCAGACUCCUACGGGAGGCAGCAGUGGGGAAUUUUGGACAAUGGGCGCAAGCCUGAUCCAGCCAUGCCGCGUGAGUGAAGAAGGCCUCGG